Molecule: long non-coding RNA, 198 nt
Organism: Daphnia pulicaria
Lineage: Eukaryota; Metazoa; Arthropoda; Branchiopoda; Diplostraca; Daphniidae
Exons: 3
Source: RefSeq, a predicted model, not a curated record
CGUUAAGACCACGCUCGUUUCACUGUCGAAAAGAGCUAGUUACUGUCACGAUUAUUAUACUUUUCUGUGUUUCGUGAAGCCAUUUAUUCAGCUUUUUCAGCUCGUUUUCUGUUCUGAGCUGUCAGUUCAAACCUUAUUCUGAGUGCUUUUGCUUGUCUAGCAUUGGCUUCAUAUCUAUAUUCCCUGUCUGUGUGUAUA